AAUGGGGGAAACCCUGAUCCAGCCAUGCCGCGUGAGUGAUGAAGGCCCUAGGGUUGUAAAGCUCUUUUGUGCGGGAAGAUAAUGACGGUACCGCAAGAAUAAGCCCCGGCUAACUUCGUGCCAGCAGCCGCGGUAAUACGAAGGGGGCUAGCGUUGCUCGGAAUCACUGGGCGUAAAGGGUGCGUAGGCGGGUCUUUAAGUCAGGGGUGAAAUCCUGGAGCUCAACUCCAGAACUGCCUUUGAUACUGAAGGUCUUGAGUCCGGGAGAGGUGAGUGGAACUGCGAGUGUAGAGGUGAAAUUCGUAGAUAUUCGCAAGAACACCAGUGGCGAAGGCGGCUCACUGGCCCGGUACUGACGCUGAGGCACGAAAGCGUGGGGAGCAAACAGGAUU
This 392-nucleotide ribosomal RNA is filed under the name uncultured Gammaproteobacteria bacterium. RNAcentral describes it as "bacterial SSU rRNA". It matches the Rfam family "Bacterial small subunit ribosomal RNA", at positions 370 to 779 of the family's 1533-position model. Lineage: Bacteria; Pseudomonadati; Pseudomonadota; Gammaproteobacteria. The record is from RNAcentral.